RNAcentral lists this long non-coding RNA (497 nucleotides) under Equus asinus (donkey). Its description in RNAcentral is "lncRNA (ENSEASG00005027469.1)". The record is from RNAcentral. Lineage: Eukaryota; Metazoa; Chordata; Mammalia; Perissodactyla; Equidae.
AAACGUGAUAUCUGACCAUCUCUCCUCACCUCCUACUCGAAAACCCCCUUCAUUCCCACUCCAUUCCUCUUCUUUGUUUUGCCAAUCAACUUUGUUUUGCCAGUUUCCAAUGUUUCUGCAAGACGGCCCCCCAGUUUGUUCACGUGUGUGUUUGUGUUCACUUCCUUUUUUCUCUUCUCCAUGAGUUGCCACAACUAUAACUCCCCUGGGCAGAUACAAAAUCCGCAAGGUUGCAAAACAGAGCUUUGAUCCUUGGAAAGAAAUGGAGUGUGCUCCACGCAUCAGACAGAGAGAACCCAAACAACUGAACACACUGCCUUCCAUUUGGGAGCCUCAGGGGACACUGGAGAAGAUAUUUUGGAGAAGCAUUAGAGCAGACAGAGUUAGAAGAAAACCUCUGCUGACAGAUUGUGCUCAGAUCCUGGCUCUGCCAAGCUGCAUGACCCUGGACCAGUCAACAAUCGCUUUGGAGAGGAGAAACAAUUACUUUGUAAACU